This is a long non-coding RNA of Oncorhynchus tshawytscha (Chinook salmon), 598 nucleotides long. RefSeq lists it as uncharacterized. The transcript is spliced from 3 exons. Lineage: Eukaryota; Metazoa; Chordata; Actinopteri; Salmoniformes; Salmonidae. The record is from RefSeq and is a predicted model, not a curated record.
AGGAAGUCUCUCCCAGAGGUAUUAGACUACAGUGUGUUGUGGGUCCAGACAGUAUCAGGAGAGUCUGACAGUCAGACAGGUGUUCCUCCUCCUCUGGCCUGUCUGCAGAUCAGAGACUUCCUCAGUGGACCAGCGGAGCUGAACGUGGAGCUGUCCCGGCCCCUGAAGGUGAACCCUACGCUGGUGAAACUGGAGCAGACCAAGGCCUACCUGAAGAGGGUUCUACCUCAUCACUAUUGGGAGUCUCCCAAACCCCCUCUACCCCUCAUUCCUCCCCCAGUAGGACCUCAUCCUCCUCUCCCCAUCGUCCCGACCCCUCCCACCUCAGCUCCCUAAGAUCCCUGGCACCCUUCCACAAGGUGUCCCUCCGCACCGCCCAGAUCGUGGUUGUCAUGGAGACCGAGUCGCACCCUGCCCGGCCCAGCCUGACCUGGUCGGUGUCGGCUAUGAAGGGUACCAUGAACAUGAAGACUGGGCCCAAGUUAGACGACCCGGUCCAGUCAGUCUCAGUGCUGUUGGAGCUGCAGGAUAUCCUGUUGAGGACGGGUCUGAAGGAUCGGAGCCGUCUGCUGCUGGGGCCUUUCUCCUGUAGCGCCCC